GACGAACACUGGCGGCGUGCCUAAUACAUGCAAGUCGAGCGGACCGAAGGGAGCUUGCUCCUUUAGGUUAGCGGCGGACGGGUGAGUAACACGUGGGCAACCUGCCCUGCAGACUGGGAUAACUUCGGGAGACCGGAGCUAAUACCGGAUAACACCGAAAACCGCAUGGUUUCGGUUGAAAGGCGGCUUUAGCUGUCACUGCAGGAUGGGCCCGCGGCGCAUUAGCUAGUUGGUAAGGUAACGGCUUACCAAGGCGACGAUGCAUAGCCGAGUUGGGAGACUGAUCGGCCACAUUGGGACUGAGACACGGCCCAA
RNAcentral lists this ribosomal RNA (315 nucleotides) under uncultured bacterium. Its description in RNAcentral is "bacterial SSU rRNA". It matches the Rfam family "Bacterial small subunit ribosomal RNA", at positions 28 to 334 of the family's 1533-position model. The record is from RNAcentral.